Molecule: ribosomal RNA, 465 nt
Filed under: Vreelandella stevensii
Lineage: Bacteria; Pseudomonadati; Pseudomonadota; Gammaproteobacteria; Oceanospirillales; Halomonadaceae
Description: partial 16S ribosomal RNA
Rfam family: Bacterial small subunit ribosomal RNA
Source: RNAcentral
CCUACGGGGGGCAGCAGUGGGGAAUAUUGGACAAUGGGGGCAACCCUGAUCCAGCCAUGCCGCGUGUGUGAAGAAGGCCCUCGGGUUGUAAAGCACUUUCAGUGAGGAAGAACGCCUGGUGGUUAAUACCCAUCAGGAAAGACAUCACUCACAGAAGAAGCACCGGCUAACUCCGUGCCAGCAGCCGCGGUAAUACGGAGGGUGCGAGCGUUAAUCGAAAUUACUGGGCGUAAAGCGCGCGUAGGUGGCUUGAUAAGCCGGUUGUGAAAGCCCCGGGCUCAACCUGGGAACGGCAUCCGGAACUGUCAAGCUAGAGUGCAGGAGAGGAAGGUAGAAUUCCCGGUGUAGCGGUGAAAUGCGUAGAGAUCGGGAGGAAUACCAGUGGCGAAGGCGGCCUUCUGGACUGACACUGACACUGAGGUGCGAAAGCGUGGGUAGCAAACAGGAUUAGAUACCCCUGUAGUC